GACGAACGCUGGCGGCGCGCUUAACACAUGCAAGUCGAACGGAAAGGCCUGCUUUCCCUUGUGGAUUGCGGGUACUCGAGUGGCGAACGGGUGAGUAACACGUGAGUGAUCUGCCCCCAACUUGGGUAUAAGCCUGGGAAACUGGGUCUAAUUCCCGAUAGGACUGCAGGGUGGUGCCUGUGGUGGAAAACGAUUUUCUAGUGGUUGGGGAUGAGCUCGCGGCCUAUCAGCGUGUUGGUGGGGUAAUGGCCUACCAAGGCGGCGACGGGUAGCCGGCCUGAGAGGGUGGACGGGCACAUUGAGACUGAGAUAAGGCCCAGACUCCUACGGGAGGCAGCAGUGGGGAAUACUGCACAAUGGGCGGAAGCCUGAUGCAGCGACGCCGCGUGGGGGAUGACGGCCUUCGGGUUGUAAACUCCUUUCGACCGAGAGGAAGCCACCUGGUUGGAAGGGUGGUGACGGUAGUGGUAGAAGAAGCACCGGCUAACUACGUG
Molecule: ribosomal RNA, 494 nt
Filed under: uncultured bacterium
Lineage: Bacteria
Description: partial 16S ribosomal RNA
Rfam family: Bacterial small subunit ribosomal RNA
Source: RNAcentral